AGAUUUGAACUCAGAUCUUCCUGACUCAAGGCUCAGUGCUCUAUCUGCUCCAGCUUCGCUACAAUAGCCUAUGUUAAAAUGGGGCACAGAGACAAGGCUGGUAAAUUGAUUCCUUCAGUCACGAGCACGACCAGAAUACAGCCACAAGAAAUCCUGGGAUGGGUCGUGCCAUUGUAGGUGAGGAGCUGGAGACCUCAGAGGCAGGUUAAAACAUCAGAGACCAUGAGAUCGAACUCCUCAUUUUAUAGAUAAGGAAGUUGAAAGAUGAACUGAAUUGAAAUGACCAAGUGCCCAAAGUCACUGAGGGAACUGAGGAAGGUACUAGUUGGGAGGAUUUAGCCUCCAUCCAGCACACAAUCUGCUAUGUUACACUGUCUCGCAUAUGUAAGAUAAAAAGGCUGGAUUUUAGGACGUCUGAGUAUUGAGUAACUCAAUAAUCCCAUAUUUUGCCAAGGGUGAGUUCAAAUUCUCUGCGGCUGCAGCCCUUCAAAUCACCUGGAAUCUGCUAGAGCAUCUCAUGCCUUGAGCAUGCAAGAAGAAAAUUGACAUAUCCUGGGGGAGAAGGGGAGGUCAUUCCUGUCACAGCCCCUUGGAGCACUGGAAGCCAAGUACCAGGCCCUGCACCAAGAUCCUCUCCCAAGCAAUCUGCAUUCAGGUCCGUGCCUCCCUGUCUCAGCCUGGUUCUCUGGGAGCCCCUUCCCUCCCCAUUCACCAAGGGAAACAGUACCACACUCUGAACUGAAGCAACUGGGACAUCGUAUUUAUGGAAGCGCUCGGGUACCAAAAUUAAAUCCUCGUGGAUGAGCUCAUAUUUGGGUGCUGGUGCUAAUUAUGUCUGCCCCUUCCAGGGACCAAAGUAGACUCUGAUAAAGCUCAGUGAACGUAGAUGAAGCCCCCUGAGCACUGUGUAUGACUGCACACGGCAGGCCCACAAAGCACUUUGAUGAACUCAGAGACAAUCUUCUCUGUUCCAGGAUCCCUCGUGUCUGAUGCUGCCUCAUUACAAGGUCACCAGUAAAAAGACUUCAGAGUCACUCAGCAGCAGACAAGGGAGCUUCAACUGACCCAUAGACUGCCUGGACCCUGAAGAUGGUAUUUGUGAUCCAGAGGCCAAAAAGCAAGCAGCCUACAGAACACUAACAAGGAAAAUCACAGGAAAUUAGUCAGAAUCCC
Sarcophilus harrisii (Tasmanian devil) is the source of this 1173-nucleotide long non-coding RNA. RefSeq lists it as uncharacterized. NCBI's taxonomy places the organism in Eukaryota, Metazoa, Chordata, Mammalia, Dasyuromorphia, Dasyuridae. The transcript is spliced from 2 exons. The record is from RefSeq and is a predicted model, not a curated record.